ACUCAAAUGAAUAGACGGGGGCCCGCACAAGCGGUGGAGCAUGUGGUUUAAUUCGACGCAACGCGAGGAACCUUACCCAGGCUUGACUUCUAGGGAAUCUUUGGGAAACCAGAGAGUGCCUUCGGGAACCCUAAGACAGGUGCUGCAUGGCUGUCGUCAGCUCGUGUCGUGAGAUGUUGGGUUAAGUCCCGCAACGAGCGCAACCCUCGUCCUUAGUUACCAUUAUUAAGUUAGGGACUCUAAGGAGACUGCCGGUGUUAAACCGGAGGAAGGUGGGGAUGACGUCAAGUCCUCAUGGCCUUUAUGCCUGGGGCUACACACGUGCUACAAUGGCCGGUACAAAGGGCGGCAAACCCGCGAGGGGGAGCUAAUCUCAAAAAACCGGUCUCAGUUCGGAUUGAAGUCUGCAACUCGACUUCAUGAAGUUGGAAUCGCUAGUAAUCGCGUAUCAGAAUGUCGCGGUGAAUACGUUCCCGGGCCUUGUACACACCGCCCGU
RNAcentral lists this ribosomal RNA (497 nucleotides) under uncultured bacterium. Its description in RNAcentral is "partial 16S ribosomal RNA". It matches the Rfam family "Bacterial small subunit ribosomal RNA", at positions 899 to 1397 of the family's 1533-position model. The record is from RNAcentral.